RNAcentral lists this ribosomal RNA (429 nucleotides) under bacterium. RNAcentral describes it as "partial 16S ribosomal RNA". It matches the Rfam family "Bacterial small subunit ribosomal RNA", at positions 355 to 776 of the family's 1533-position model. The record is from RNAcentral.
UGGGGAAUUUUGGACAAUGGGGGCAACCCUGAUCCAGCAAUGCCGCGUGUGUGAAGAAGGCCUUCGGGUUGUAAAGCACUUUUGUCCGGGAAGAAAUCGCACCUGAUAAUACCGGGUGUGGAUGACGGUACCGGAAGAAUAAGGACCGGCUAACUACGUGCCAGCAGCCGCGGUAAUACGUAGGGUCCAAGCGUUAAUCGGAAUUACUGGGAGUAAAGCGUGCGCAGGCGGUUGUGCAAGACCGAUGUGAAAUCCCCGGGCUUAACCUGGGACUUGCAUUGGUGACUGCACGGCUAGGGUUUGUCAGAGGUGGGUAGAAUUCCACGUGUAGCAGUGAAAUGCGUAGAGAUGUGGAGGAAUACCGAUGGCGAAGGCAGCCCCCUGGGAUAACACUGACGCUCAUGCACGAAAGCGUGGGGAGCAAACAGG